This 482-nucleotide ribosomal RNA is filed under the name Veillonella dispar. RNAcentral's name for it is "bacterial SSU rRNA". It matches the Rfam family "Bacterial small subunit ribosomal RNA", at positions 28 to 480 of the family's 1533-position model. The record is from RNAcentral. Lineage: Bacteria; Bacillati; Bacillota; Negativicutes; Veillonellales; Veillonellaceae.
GACGAACGCUGGCGGCGUGCUUAACACAUGCAAGUCGAACGAAGAGCGAUGGAAGCUUGCUUCUAUCAAUCUUAGUGGCGAACGGGUGAGUAACGCGUAAUCAACCUGCCCUUCAGAGGGGGACAACAGUUGGAAACGACUGCUAAUACCGCAUACGAUCUAACCUUGGCAUCGAGGAUGGAUGAAAGGUGGCCUCUAUUUAUAAGCUAUCACUGAAGGAGGGGAUUGCGUCUGAUUAGCUAGUUGGAGGGGUAACGGCCCACCAAGGCGAUGAUCAGUAGCCGGUCUGAGAGGAUGAACGGCCACAUUGGGACUGAGACACGGCCCAGACUCCUACGGGAGGCAGCAGUGGGGAAUCUUCCGCAAUGGACGAAAGUCUGACGGAGCAACGCCGCGUGAGUGAUGACGGCCUUCGGGUUGUAAAGCUCUGUUAAUCGGGACGAAAGGCCUUCUUGCGAAUAGUUAGAAGGAUGACGGUACCG